RNAcentral lists this long non-coding RNA (212 nucleotides) under Elaeis guineensis (African oil palm). Its description in RNAcentral is "long non-coding RNA (EGUI_LNC008744)". Lineage: Eukaryota; Viridiplantae; Streptophyta; Magnoliopsida; Arecales; Arecaceae. The record is from RNAcentral.
GAUUUGAGUUUGAUUUGGAUAGCUUUUUAGAAAAUACAAGCUAGAUAAAUCAACACGCCCUGAGUCCUACAUAAUUUUUAGCCCAAUCCUAUAGGAAUAUCCAAUUAAAGAUUAUUUGGAUAUAGAGAGUAAAAUUCAUGGCUUUUAAAAAAUAUUAUUAUGCAAAAUAUAAUAAAAAUUAUAUAUGAUAUCAAAAAUCCAUUAUACUGAAC